Molecule: ribosomal RNA, 483 nt
Filed under: Escherichia coli
Lineage: Bacteria; Pseudomonadati; Pseudomonadota; Gammaproteobacteria; Enterobacterales; Enterobacteriaceae
Also listed under: 1 other name
Description: partial 23S ribosomal RNA
Rfam family: Bacterial large subunit ribosomal RNA
Source: RNAcentral
GGUUAAGCGACUAAGCGUACACGGUGGAUGCCCUGGCAGUCAGAGGCGAUGAAGGACGUGCUAAUCUGCGAUAAGCGUCGGUAAGGUGAUAUGAACCGUUAUAACCGGCGAUUUCCGAAUGGGGAAACCCAGUGUGAUUCGUCACACUAUCAUUAACUGAAUCCAUAGGUUAAUGAGGCGAACCGGGGGAACUGAAACAUCUAAGUACCCCGAGGAAAAGAAAUCAACCGAGAUUCCCCCAGUAGCGGCGAGCGAACGGGGAGGAGCCCAGAGCCUGAAUCAGUGUGUGUGUUAGUGGAAGCGUCUGGAAAGGCGCGCGAUACAGGGUGACAGCCCCGUACACAAAAAUGCACAUACUGUGAGCUCGAUGAGUAGGGCGGGACACGUGGUAUCCUGUCUGAAUAUGGGGGGACCAUCCUCCAAGGCUAAAUACUCCUGACUGACCGAUAGUGAACCAGUACCGUGAGGGAAAGGCGAAAAGAA